GACGAACCGUGCGAACGUUGUUCGGAAUCACUGGGCUUAAAGGGCGCGUAGGCGGGUUCUCAAGUCUGGAGUGAAAGCCCACGGCUCAACCGUGGAAGCGCUUCGGAUACUGGGGGCCUCGAGGGAGGUAGGGGCGUGCGGAACUUCCGGUGGAGCGGUGAAAUGCGUAGAUAUCGGAAGGAACACCGGUGGCGAAAGCGGCGCGCUGGACCUCUUCUGACGCUGAGGCGCGAAAGCCAGGGGAGCAAACGGG
This 253-nucleotide ribosomal RNA is filed under the name uncultured bacterium. RNAcentral's name for it is "partial 16S ribosomal RNA". It matches the Rfam family "Bacterial small subunit ribosomal RNA", at positions 524 to 776 of the family's 1533-position model. The record is from RNAcentral.